Molecule: long non-coding RNA, 585 nt
Filed under: Felis catus (domestic cat)
Lineage: Eukaryota; Metazoa; Chordata; Mammalia; Carnivora; Felidae
Description: lncRNA (ENSFCAG00000040329.2)
Source: RNAcentral
CUCUGCCCUCACGCCUGCAUCCAUGCCCAAGCGUGAGUGUGGGGUGCGCACGUGUGUGGUGUGAGUGUGCGUGUGCACGUCUGUGUGCACUCCUGUGUGUACGCGAUGCGUGUGCGCACACCCAUGUGCACACACACACACACGUGUUGCACACAGAGGCACCUGCUAACACACACAUUCCCCCUCCAGAUUCAGCAGUGACUGAGGCCCUGGGGGCGGGGAGAGCCAGGUGAGCUGGGGCCCAGUCACACCUGAGCGGCGCCCCCACCACUAACUCUCCGGCCCCCACUGUGGCAGAGCUAAGGCUCUCCGAUCAGACUGGGACACGGCUACGGCCACGGGCAGAGGCCCGGGAAUCCAGCUCUGUGUCCGCUGCUCCGUACGACGUCAGAGCUCGGGCCAGAGCCCCCUUUACAGGACAUGACCUCAAGGAACACAGGCAGCAGAGCAGUAGGGUGAUGACUCUUGGGGCCCCGGCUGGGCUCUGAGCUGGCCCCACCCGGCAGAAGGUACUAGGUGCCCCCACCACUGGUCUGACAUCAGCAUCACCCCGGCCCCCCAGAAGCCACCUAAACCAUCAGCACC